UAAACGGAGAAGAGGCACCGCCAUUUUGCCGCUACAGCUCCGUUCGGAAAGCGUUGGUGACGCCGUGGAUUUUCUUUUCUCUCGCUUCGACGGACCCGAGAACGCCCGCGGGUCCUUCCUGACGUUACCUGGUCGACAAGGACGCGAGUGAAAUGAGCGCCAUUGAGCGUAGCGGUAGCCGUAGCGCUAGUCCCAGAAGGCCUAAAAACAGCGACGGAGGAAUGAGAAACUCUAGAUCGCGAUCCCGAUCGCGCAAGUCACGAGAGCGCAAAGAGGGCCACAGACCUGUCAAAGGGAAAUAUUCACGGUCACGUAGCAGAUCUGCUUCCCGGGGAAGGAAGUCCUAUCAGAUGAGCAAGUACUCGAGCAACAGACGCCGCAGCAGCCGCACCCGCAGUCGCAGUCGAAGCAGAUCGAGCUACCGUGGAGUACGGUACUCCCGCAGUAGGUCUCGCUCGUACUCCCGUUCCAAGUAUUCCCGCGAAAGGGACAGGUAUGUCUACCGCUCGCACUCGAGGAGCCCCAUGUCCUCGAGGCGACGUCACGUCGGCAACCGCGACAACCCCUGUCCUUCGAGAUGUCUCGGUGUCUUCGGACUCUCCAUUUAUACCACCGAGCAUCAGAUCUAUCACAUCUUCUCCAAGUAUGGGGUUGUCGAGCGAGUACAGGUUGUCAUAGAUGCAAAGACUGGACGGUCUAGAGGAUUUUGCUUUGUAUAUUUUGAAUCGUCAGAGGAUGCCAAGGUAGCAAAAGAACAGUGCACGGGAAUGGAAAUCGAUGGCCGGCGAAUACGAGUAGAUUUUUCAAUUACUCAACGAGCUCAUACGCCUACUCCUGGAAUUUACAUGGGCAAACCAACCCACUUGCACGACAGAGGCUGGGACGGACCCAGACGUAGAGAGAGUAGUUACAGAGGAAGCUACCGACGGUCGCCCAGUCCAUAUUACAACCGACGACGUUCUCGAUACGACCGGUCCAGAUCACGCUCCUAUUCCCCACGUCGAUAUGUAGUGGCACGAGUGUGAUGCGAGAGGCCAGGUGUUGGGAGCCGUUUGUGUGACUUGAUCCUUUGAUCCCCAUUACUUCUAAGUAAUACACUCGCACGGUGCCAAAUCAUUUUAUGCAAACGCCGCAUUACCACCCUACCGUUCUCACCUUACCCGGCUCUAUUUCAAAAAUUGCACGGAUUCGACAGGAGCCCGAUAAGUAGAGCCGAAGAGGUCGAGCCUUUCCUGACCAAAGUCUCCGCUAUUUUCUUCACGGCUUCGAAAUCAUUUUACCUUUCCUUUAACGCUUUGUGAUUUUAAAAAUCGGGAAAGUAUUCUUCAUUGAUUCGUGAGGCCUCGUCGGUUAACAUCUCGCAAGGUUUAAAUUUAAUUCUGUCCGUUAAUUAUAUUCGAUUGAACUUUAUCGAUUCGUGGAGGUGCACCGGAAGGAGUUCUUAAAAGUAUAGUUAUAGCGGGAUAAUUUUCGUUGCUCGGAGGUGUCUUGAACUUUUGAGCUUCGAGCCUACUUAUCGGGGAGUUUGAGAUGACGGAUACAAAGUACGGUGUAUCGAGGAUCUUUCGAUGGGACACUUGGAACGGAGAAAAGAUGCCUCUAGCCUCUUUUGCCUAGGAAAGAGUAAGGUCAGAACGGACGCGGAACUUUAUUUUCAUGAACUUCCCCAGACCUACUCUUCGCUCGACGUAUCUCAAAGUUAAAGGAGAUAAGGUUUUUAGUUAUACUCUUUACUCUCGUCCGGCGAUAAUGUGAAGGUUGGAAUACGCAUGUGGAAUUGUUGCGAGGUUCUGUCUCGUUGGUUCUUCCCUCUCUCUCUUUCUCUCGCCCCCUCUCGAGGGGAGUUGGCCCUCGGUACAAAGUUGUAUUUCAGCCAUUCGACGGUCGACUACCACCCAGAUGGUACGAAGCUGCGCUAAUGUGCUACGCGUAAACCUAUAAAUGUAUCCGUCUAUCUAUCGUAAGGCUUUAUUACGAAGAAGGUUUUGAAUCAAGAGGUAUUGGAUGAUAGAGGGAACUCUCUGUGUCGAAAAAAUGAACGGUUUUGCAAACGAAAAGUCGAAGACAAGAGAUCCGCCGGAAGAGAAGAAAUACGUUUCGCUUCUUCUCGCUCGGCUAGGCUCGAAAAAUCAAGAGAAAACCGAGGGUUCGUGUCGCGCGACUCGUGAGAAAGAAUAUGAUCCGAAACCGGCCUCCCCCCCGUCGAGUUCGUUCUCGGGCCUCUAGGAAGAGCACUCAAGCAAUGGUUAAUGCAAGAGAAUACGAGAAUACAGGAAGAGGGAAAAACGUUGGGUGAGUCGGUGCUGCGAGAGAGAAAUACCGAUAUAUGUACAUGUACGUCGAGAGAAAUCGCUCGGCGAACGUGGCCCGAGAGGGAAAGAAAGAAGAGAGAAAACGUCGAGAUAUCCGUAGAGCUAUAUAUAUAUAUAUACUUAUACAUAUAUAUAUAUGCAUAUACAUAUACAUAUAUACGUACCCGCGAGAGAAGAAUAAGGAGAUUCGUGCUCGCAGGUUUAGUCGAACCGAUCAUAUUCUUUAUCAAUUGGUUGUGUAUAUCGGGUGUCGCUCGUUCUCGAGGACGCCACAUAGCUCGCGGUCCGGGUCCUCGGCCGGUCCGCCACUUCCCCGCUUCGCAAUAAAAAGAGAGAAUAAAGGUGUGCACCCCUCUCUGUCCAUCCUGUCCCUCCACCAUCCCAAGACCUCCGACAGUCGCCCAGUCUUUUAUCUAGAGAUAGACGUCCUUCGUUUUCGCGGGUUCUUCGUUUCUUUUCCAUUUUCUCGAAUUUUCUUUUAUCCCAAAGCUUCUUCCGUCGCCUUUCCAAGGAGCUGACGAUUCCGGGGCGCCUUGUAUUUGCGUUUAACCGUGUACAAACGUGUCCAUAAGUAUUGAAUAAAGAUCAAAUCAUCGAUCGAA
RNAcentral lists this unclassified non-coding RNA (2914 nucleotides) under Orussus abietinus. Its description in RNAcentral is "transformer-2 protein homolog alpha, transcript variant X4". The record is from RNAcentral. Lineage: Eukaryota; Metazoa; Arthropoda; Insecta; Hymenoptera; Orussidae.